Molecule: long non-coding RNA, 710 nt
Organism: Homo sapiens (human)
Lineage: Eukaryota; Metazoa; Chordata; Mammalia; Primates; Hominidae
Gene: HOXA11-AS
Product: HOXA11 antisense RNA
Source: Ensembl
ACUUGAAGUUGCCGGCGCGCCCGUUGCAGCCGCCGCCGCCGCCGCGGAGGUCGCCGUGGCCGCCGGGGGCCCCUUCUCGGCGCUCUUGUCCCCGGGGUAGUCGGAGGAGGCGAGGUUUUCCGGGGUGCCGUAGGCUGUCUCGAAAAACUGGUCGAAAGCCUGUGGCAGGACGCCGUUCCUGCCCACGGUGCUAUAGAAAUUGGACGAGACUGCGGGGGUGGGGUGGUGGUAGACGUUGGCCGAGCUCUUGGCCAGCACGUCGCCAGGCACGCCGGCCGCGCUGGGCGCCUGCAGGCAGUCUCUGUGCACGAGCUCCUCCGCGGAGUAGCAGUGGGCCAGAUUGCCGCGGGGGUGCCAUUUAGUGGCGGGCUCAAUGGCGUACUCUCUGAAGGUCACUUCGCGCACGGGUUGGACCUGGGGCAGGUUGGAGGAGUAGGAGUAUGUCAUUGGGCGCGAAGACGGGGUCUGGGGCAGAAAAGAAGGGAGGCUGGAGAAAUCUGGACCCGAGACGUAGAGGUCCAACAGCCGAGCUUAGCCCACCGGGCUCUGGGAAAGACCCGACUGAGGCUAAAGCCGCCCCGGAAGGCCAAGUCCGAGUUCCAUUUCUUGAAGAGGCCGGCGCGCGUAAGGCUGUGACAUUGGCCCUGGCGACUGGCUUCCCAGGAGCUGUUCUUUCUCAGGAGCUCCACAGCGCGGGCCAUCUCCAGAAA